CCUACGGGUGGCAGCAGUGGGGAAUCUUGUGCAAUGGGGGCAACCCUGACACAGCCACGCCGCGUGCGGGAAGAAGGCCUUCGGGUCGUAAACCGCUUUCAGCAGGAACGAAAAUGACGGUACCUGCAGAAGAAGGAGCGGCCAACUACGUGCCAGCAGCCGCGGUGACACGUAGGCUCCAAGCGUUGUCCGGAUUUAUUGGGCGUAAAGAGCUCGUAGGCGGUUCAGCAAGUCGGGUGUGAAAACUGUGGGCUUAACCCACAGCCUGCACCCGAAACUGCUGUGACUAGAGUUUGGUAGGGGAGCGGGGAAUUCCUGGUGUAGCGGUGAAAUGCGCAGAUAUCAGGAGGAACACCGGUGGCGAAGGCGCCGCUCUGGGCCAAUACUGACGCUGAGGAGCGAAAGCGUGGGUAGCAAACAGGAUUAGAUACCCCAGUAGUC
RNAcentral lists this ribosomal RNA (441 nucleotides) under uncultured bacterium. Its description in RNAcentral is "bacterial SSU rRNA". It matches the Rfam family "Bacterial small subunit ribosomal RNA", at positions 338 to 795 of the family's 1533-position model. The record is from RNAcentral.